This 477-nucleotide ribosomal RNA is filed under the name Candidatus Scalindua brodae. RNAcentral describes it as "bacterial SSU rRNA". It matches the Rfam family "Bacterial small subunit ribosomal RNA", at positions 365 to 832 of the family's 1533-position model. RNAcentral also lists the same sequence under 1 other name. The record is from RNAcentral. Lineage: Bacteria; Pseudomonadati; Planctomycetota; Candidatus Brocadiia; Candidatus Brocadiales; Candidatus Scalinduaceae.
UUCGCAAUGCCCGAAAGGGUGACGAAGCGACGCCGCGUGGGUGAGGAAGGCCUUCGGGUUGUAAAACCCUGUCAGGAGUUAAGAAAUGUAAGUGCGCUAAUAUCGCAUUUAUUUGACGAAGGCUCCAAAGGAAGCCACGGCUAACUCUGUGCCAGCAGCCGCGGUAAUACAGAGGUGGCAAGCGUUGUUCGGAAUUAUUGGGCGUAAAGAGCACGUAGGUGGGUUUGUAAGUCAGAUGUGAAAGCCUUCUGUUCAACGGAAGAAUUGCAUCUGAAACUGUGAAUCUUGAGUAUAGGAGGGGAGAAUGGAACUUCUGGUGGAGCGGUGAAAUGCGUAGAUAUCAGAAGGAACGCCGGCGGCGAAAGCGAUUCUCUGGCCUAUUACUGACACUGAGUGUGCGAAAGCUAGGGGAGCAAACGGGAUUAGAUACCCCGGUAGUCCUAGCCGUAAACGAUGGGCACUAAGUAGAGGGGUUUU